CUCAAACACUAUAUGAUUCUUUCUGUCUCCUGCAUGGUGAUAAGUGUACCCAAAUACUGCUCCAACCGAUCCAUGUGGUCUGACAGAAGCUGCAAUUGGACACACUUCCUGCAGUUGUAGUCAUCAGGGAUAUUUGAACUGCCUCUGAUAUCCCACAUUCUGCAGGAGAAACAUACUCCCCUGGUGACUGCCAUUUUUACCCCCUUGCAACUAUUUAAUUAAAAAUAAAUUUGUUAAAUUAAUUUACAGCUUACUGGAUGGACCCUCAUGUUAGAUUCUCACUAAAGAAUACUAAAUGCACUAUUCAGUAAACAACAGUCUAGGUACUAUUCUAAAUCCCAGUACUGUCCUACUGUACCACUAGCCUAAGUCCCACUACUCUCAAAUCUUAUGGGUAUGAAAAGGUUAAUGGAAAUUGAAGGUAAGAAAAAUAAAUCACCUGACCACUACUUACCAGUUGGGAGUCUUUCUGUUCAAAACGUCACAUUUGAGCUUGCACCGUGACAGAGUGUAGCUCCCAUGAUACUGUCCAUGUCAUGGGUCAAGGUCAAUGCCCCGUGCUAAAGUUUUUACCUGCUCCAACUGCUGGUGUCUUCCUCCAGCCUCUCUGGUUCUGGUUCUGGUUCCUGGCUGCUGAUCAGGGUAAGGCUGCUGAAGAGGAUAAAGUCUGAUACAAAGUAUUUAUUCAACUCCUCUGCCGUUUCCUGGUUUUCCCAUUUUUGUUUCCCUAACCUUGUGCUCACAGGAUCCUGUGUUCACUUUGGCUCCUUUCUUCCUUUUUAUAUAUUGAAAGAAGCUCUUGCUGUCUGUUUUGCCAUUACUUGCAAGUUUAUUUUUUAAGUUUGCCUUCUACCUCUUUAUUAAUUUCUUGGCUGUCUUUUAUUUAAAACUUGCCCCAUCCUCUAAUCCACUAACCUUUGCCGAAUUGUAUGUUUUAUCUUCAAUUUGAUGAUGAACUUCCCUGGUUAACCAUGGUUGGCUUAUCCCCUUCCGAAAUCCUUCGUCCGCACUGAGAUAUGUCUUUACUGUGAGCCAUGGACUAUUUUCUUAAAUGCCAAUCCUCAACGGUCUUUACUGCUGAACUCCUUUCCCAGUCCACUCCAGCCAGCUGUGCCCUCAUUCCUUUGUAAUUAUCCUUAUUUGAGUUUAGCACAGUUGUUUCUGACACAAGUUCCUCCCUCUCAAACUGCUGAAUUCUGCCAUGUUAUGGUCACUGUUUCUAAGAGGAUCUUUUAUUCUGGCAUCAUUAUUAAACCUGCCUCAUUACACAUCACCAGAUCCAAAAUAGUAUUAGGAUUAAGGAAUUUUUUUUAAACAGUGAACUAGACAAAAUUUUUUUUUAUUUAUGAAGGCAAUUAUUAACCUGUUGUAGAUUCCAGUUGCACUGCUUUCCAUUUCCAAAAACUAAUUUGUGUCUUCGUCUUAGCAUGAGUGCCUGUAAUGUGAACUGCAAUCCAAAUGGUCUGAGCUAUGUUGAAGCCUUUGGAUGCUGGAGGAGACCAGGGCUCACUAAUACCAGCCAGUGUCUCUGGUUCAUUGGUUUUGGUCGUCUCAGCUUUUGAAGAGCAGCUGGAUUCUCAGAGCAAGGCGCCACAAUGCAGACAGAGGUGAUGGCAACUCCAUCAGCAGCAGUUGCCCCGUCACAAUGAGGUGCAACACCUGGAGCAAGACACAGCAUUUUCUCCAGAAUGGAUACGGUGUAUACAUGUGAAGAUCAGUUUGGUUGGAUAUGCUGAAAUGUAGUCAUUCGCAAGUUUAAUGUGGUCAAAAGAAUCAGCAAUUCUGAUCUUUAGUGGAGGUGAUUCUGGUGUCAGUAUCGUAAGAGGUGAUGUAUGCAAUGGAAAGUGACAAUGCUACACAGACCAAUGUAAAGCUCAUUCUAUACAGUUACGCUAUUAUUGCUAAUGCAUAUACACCAUCCAUGUUCUCGAUUUGAAAAGCAUCUGACAUCUAAUGAAACUACCUACGUUCCAUUGCAAAUAAUACCAAACUGUCAUCAUUAAUUUGAGUGAGCAUGCCCCUAUUUUGUUCAAUGCUUUGGUGACUUUUGCUAUUUUUCAUAUUGUGUUGAUUGUGAAAUAUCUUGUGCCAAUUUUGGGGGAAAUUUGAUGUUGAGAAGACAGUAACUGCCCGUGCAACUUUUUACUUUGUUCUUGCUUUACAAUCAGCAGUUUACAUACUAAAUAAUUCUGCCUUUAGCCCUGGCUCAUUGUAUAGCGUGGUAAUAUUGUCAGGUUGGGCUAUGGCUAAGCCAAAAGUUUGAAAUUCUAAGUUCUAUCUUUGUGAGACACCAUACUUCAAGACUUUGUCUUCCAUUUUCAUUCAGAACGUUCCAAAAUCAUUGUGUUGCAAUGUGAGAUUAGGAGUAAGGCAAAGCAGAAGGACAGCUGACCAGAGAGAAUUGGCCCAGGACAGGAAGAUGUGCAAGUGGGCCCAUGACAGGAGCUUUAAAUCUGAGAUUUCAGUGUCAGCCCCCUGUGAAAAGAAAGUUUUUGGCUUAAAGGCACCUCAUUCCAGUCCUGUUUUCGAGCCUUUUCUGACUUUGGGAAAGAGCUGGAUUUACUUUGCUGUUGAUUAGCUGGAUAUAUUAGUGUUUCACUUUCAGUUAAACCAUUUCAGUAGCAAGGGUUCUAGACUGUUAGUCAUGCCACUGAGACCUGCUGGCAGAUGACAGCAUUUCUUCUUUGUGGUGUCUGCUUAUUUGUUUUAUAGUUUCAUCCUCCUAAGGAUGAAGAAAACCUUAAAAUGGGAUUGUAUUGUUGCGACUUCACCCAAAAGCAGCCUAUGGGGAGAUUUGCCUGGGCCUUCACCUAGACAUUGCACCUGAGAGCACUGAACUCUGGACAGUCACUAAGCUAGCUGAGAGUUCAGAGCUAGGAAAUCUCCCCUCCUAUUUUAGGUUUUUUUUAAAAUCCAGGCAUCUUUUGUAACCCAUCUCCUUAAAAAUGGUGAUAUUUCAAACAAUGGAGAAUGCAUCACAGUUGCUGAUGUCACAAUGAUUCUUUGUGUCCUGAGUAUUGUGUUGGUUGAUAAGGGUUGGUAUGUCUUGUAGCUGGUUGAAUUAGUGAUAGUUAUCAUGAUGAGAUUUGCAGUUUCCAAAUGAAAUAGGAGGCCAAUUAUACUGGAUGAUGGGCCCUUUAUGGCUUUCUGGUCCAGACACCAUUUCAUUGAUUGCUGUGUAGAGAGGGGUCCCAAGGGAUAUCAUAUUGCUGUCAAGAAAGUUAACUUCCCAAUGAAUUUGUUUAGAAGAGAACUUUUGAGUAAAAGCUCAUGCAUGAUUCAAAUUCAGUUUUUAUAUUGAAAGUAAAAUGCAAUGAUUUACAUGAAGUUUUGGGUCUUUCACUCCCCUAAAAAGAAUGAUAGAAGCCACUAUCCAUUUGGAUAUUUGGGUCCCUUUGUUUCAUAAUAUUUUGUUAAAAUGCUGACCAUUUAGAUACCAAGAAGAAGUUGGUCACAUUGUCCUGCCCCAUAACCCUGCAGAAUAGCAAAAUUAUUGCAGAUCAAAUAUAUAAUUUCUCCACUCAUGAGAUUGGGAAGAUUUAAUGAUUUAACCUUCUACUGUUUAACCCAGAAAUGUAUCAAACUUAAAGAUUUCUUUCUUGAGUUUAUUUCUAAAACAACAAUUCAAAGUUUUAACCUAGUAAAGAGAUUAUUAGCAGAGUGACAUGAUUGUUAUUGGGUUGUAGACAUAGAAAUGCAUCCUGCUGUCUUCAUCCCAAACACAGACAUGUCCCUAGAUGCAGACGGACAUGCACUGGCAUGCACACUGGCACACCCAUUUGCAGGAACAAAUAUAUCCACGCAAACUGUUUAAAAUGAAUUAUCAUUUUAGGUUAGAGGAUUGCUUGCUGACUAGCCACAGUUCACACGUACAGUUACCAUAGAUCACAGUGUACAAGUCAAUCUUUGAAGUCUCUCAUUCCUUCCAAAAAUGGUGCCAACUUGUACGUCAGGGAUAAAAUGUGAACAGCUGGCAUUGGUGCAGAUGCUUGUUGUUUUAAAAUGAGAAAAAAUUUCAAAUGAAAUCAUUGUGACAUUUUUUAUUGAAUUAAUUACUUGCACUAGGUUACCUUCAGCCACAUUCAAUAUGUUUUUUUUAAAAAAAGCAUUAAAUUGAUUGUCUCCAGUAUCACUGCGAGGUGAUCAUCAUUUUGGUCCGAAUCACUUCAGCUAUGGCUUUAUCAUAAGGAUCCUCCUCUGGAACAGUGUAGCGUUUUUGGUUUUUGAAUCAUCUGCACCAGAAUUCAUUUUGCUUGCCAUCCAUUGAAUUGCAUAUUCUGCAACUUUUGAAAGAUCUGAUGACAGUUUGUGCAUUAAUAGCAUCCAACAAUUUGAUGACAAAACCACACACAGCAUCAAGUGGGAUAACAUGCCUGUUUCCACUCUUUGUAGAGGUUUCUUUUUCUCCAUCCAUCCACUUAUUCCAAUUGCAAAAACAUGAUUUUUCACUGGUUUGUUGAGGCACGCAUCCAAAGAUUGGCCUCCAGACAUUUGAUCCCAGUAUAAUUACAACCUGGGUGUUAAUUCUUCACAGCUGUCUCUUAACCUUAUUGGAUUUAUGUGAUCUGAGCAUGACUUGCACCAAAAAGCUAUUAUUUACAUAGGCUGCCAGGAUGUGUGCUCCAACCUUAUCAAGCCAUAGCUCUACUUCAUCUGACCAUAGUCACAGACAUGCACAAAAAGUCCUGCAGAAACUUGACUUUGGCAUGAUUUACAUUUGAAGUUUACCAUAGCCUGUAAUUUUAUUCAAUUUGCCACGCAGCCUAGUACCACCAUCAAUCUUUUUCUCAUGUCUUGUAGUUUUUACUAGAAUUGUUUUUGCACUAUUUUACUCCAUAGUUCAGUUGUUGGGCAUAUUGCAAUGCGUAAGCAUUUCAUUUUUAUUUCAUAAAGUGGCUACACCAACAGCUGUUGCUCUGAAUCUUUGCUGCACUGUGUUUGAUUUGGUCUUUGCUGGACUCAGUUUGAUUUAGCCCACUUAAGCGCACAUAUAUGUGUGCCAGCAACAUGGAUUCAAUUCCCGCACCAGCUGAGGUUACUUCUUAACCCCUCCCUUUGCCUGAGGCAUGGUGACCCUCAGAUGAAACCAUCACCAGUCCUAUCUCUUGAAUGAGAGAGUAGCCCUAUGGUCUGGUAAGCCUGGAGCAAUUUUACCUUUUAUACGCAUUACAUUUUUGAUGAUGAUGUAGUCAUUCUGAGAAUUCAAAAGUGUGUAUCGAUACAUGCUUCUCCACGCCAGGCCAUUGGCUGUCCCCAUUGUCGGGUGCGUUUAGCCUUAGACAUCUUCCUCAGGGCGGAUUCUUCCUCCUUCCACUUCUGCACCAGUUCUUUCACUUCGCAAAUUCUGUCAUUACAGCAUAGUUAUUCGACAAGUUAGCAAUUUUUUGCCAGAGGACCCAUUUCUGUUCUUCAGUCACCAUGUGCAGUCUAGUCUUUGUGAGCACAUUUUCAACUUAAGUGUAUGAUCUUGGCGACACGGUCCAUGUCGACCUCUUGUUCCCAUGUGUUAUGAGGUGAGUAAAAUGUAAUUCUGAGGUGAAAAAUAAAAGCCAACUCCUAAUGCGAGAACAACAAUUUUUAGCAGAAAAGAGGAUCAACUCAUAUGCCAAGUAUAGGCCUAAACAAGUAUUUGGCUCUGGGAAAAUGGGGUUGUCUUCUACCCUGUGAUCUAUGGUACUUGAAAUUUAUUGAAUUCUUAAUGUUACAAUUGAACUGCUACAAUUGCUGCGUCAUAUCAAUUCUGUCCAGUCUUUGCUAAAAUCAAUGGCAUGAUUCAAACAAUUAACACAGUGGAGAACCGCUGCUUGUAUGCUAUAACCUGGAAUUUGAAACACCAGAUUUCGAGUAGCCAGUAGUUGCUCAGGUGCUAGGUGAGGAACAAAGGUCACCUAAGGAAUCAGCUCCUCAUUGUUUGUCCAGUCAUUUCCACAGUACAAUGUGUCUAAUCUUUGUCACUGGGAGAAUUCAGCCUCCUCUCUCCCUCAUGUUUUAUUAGGGCAAGUUGUAGCUGUUCUGGAUAGUCACUAAUACUAAUGCUGUCAUUGCUAAAUUAGUGCUAAUAGUUUGUUUAGUGAAAGCUCUCAUGUCUUCCAUCUGUUCUCAAAUCCUAAAAUUACAUUUGAAGACGUAGAAGAAAAUAUUAGAUGACACCACAAUGUUUGCUCACCAUUUAAGUAUGGCCGGGGAAUGCUGGGACUAGGAGCAAGUUGACAGAGAGGAGGAUGACUAUAUUAGGAGUUGAUAAAACAGUCUUCAGUGACUGCAUGUCAAAAAAGAAUGUCAAGAUUUUUCUUGAUAUUUUAAGCUGCCCACUUAGAAACAAGUUUACACUCCCAGCCCACUUACAUACAGCAUCUCAUCUUCUUACGCUUUCUGAAUAGUUCCUGCAAACAUUGUAAAAUACUUGCAAAAAAACAAAAAGUCCAGUAACUUCAACAAAGAAGAAAAUGAGAGCCCAGCUCUGCCAAUUUUGAGCUCUUUAUUUCUGUCGCUGAUGGGGAUAGCAAUCUGUCAGAUUCAGCAAACUGAGAUUAAAUUAACAGGUAACGGAACACAUUUCAUUCUUACCUGUAUUGCAUAAGGAUAGUCUUAUUCUUUUGUUUAUGCUCAUUUUUUUCCAGUCCUAGAAGCUUACAAUGUUAAGUAAGCUUAGUUACACUAAACAUGACCAAUGCCCGUCACAUGAAGUGAGGUUCUAUUCUCCUGAGCACUGGAUGGUUUCCCCAGUUAACACCAGCUGAUGGUGACCUGCUCUUCAGUGCCAAAUCCACCUUUUUUUUUGCAUAUUCAUCUCAUCUUCCCACCAAUUUAAUAUGCGAGGCGACAGAUGGCUGAAUCAUGUAGAUUGACAGUGUACUGACUGUGCCACUGCUGUGUGCUCCCUGGAGUAGCGGUCAUCAUUUCUGGACAUAAGAGCCAAUACAUCCAACCUAGUAUGAGGAGGGCAGUGGAGUAGUUUAUGUGCAUCAUUCAUUUGGGUGUGAUUUGAGAUUUUACCACCAGGCUAAGAACAGUUGCACAUGAAUUGAUGCCAGUUUGAUUUUCUUUCCUAUGAAUUAAGGCGAGUGUAAAACUGAGUGCUGAGUCACCUAAACCCCAUCCUUCCCGUCUGUCUUUGGUUAGACAGUAAAAUCCUCUCGUUCCUAAACUCAACUGCUUUGUUUUUACCAAGUUGGUGUAAAAGUGUUGUCCUGUAAAGUUAGUUUUUAGCUGUCAGCAGAGAAGCGAUUCCUGCCAGGAAGAUGAGACCUUGCCUCCAUUCAAACAGGAGAGCUCUGGGGCCUUUCUUGAACAAAACUGGAUAGUGUGGCUUACUGUACCCAGAAAUUACAAUCAGUGUCUAAUAGCUGCUAUAGGAACUGAACCACACCAUUGAACGAGGUCCUGAAUGAUUCAGCUGAGCAUAAAGGACAAAAUGGUGAUCAGGAUUGAAGCACAAGUGGAAUAGGAAGUGCCACGCUUUGAAAUCGAAGCCCAGUCUCGCUGGCUGCAUGGAGUUCAGACUGGCCCUGAUAAUCUGAUAUGGCAGGUGUUAUGAGCAACAUUAUGUGGGAAUUGCAUGGGCAGGGGGGACUAUGUAUACAUCUUGCUUAAAAUGUGGAUUUUUAUUGCAUAUUUGCUCAUUUCUGUGUUAAUAUUUUCCUAUCUUAAGUUGGGAAUGCCUAUCUGUGUACUAUGCUGGUGACCUACAUCUGUGCUGUACAUUCCCUGUUCUCAGCACACUAAAAGUUAGAUUUUUUUAAUAGAGUUUGAAGCUUAUUUUUUGAAACAAGCCAGUGUUUUUGAUUGCUCAGAUGAAUUAUUACUGCCAUGGAAUCAUCCAGACUCACUCCCAUUUUAUUACACUAGAAGCUUCCUGCUACAUUCAAAUAAUUCAUGAUACGUUCUGAAAAUUGCAGUAUUACCUGAAACUGUUGUCAGCCUUUCCUGAAAUUCAUUUCAAUGGAGCAUGAAGGAAUCCAUUUUUUUAAAACCAUGAAAAUAAAUGAACUGGAAAUUCUAGUGACCCAUCAUAUGUACACGAGUGUAUCUGUUACAAUAAUUUGAGGUCUUCCUAUUUAAUGGGUAGUGAGGAAUUACCUUUGAAACCUACCUUCUGGCUCAUAUUGCCCCAAGAAAGUUUGAUUUAUUUUCAUGUGUUACAACAGUCAGCUGUUCAUGCAGAGUAUCUUAAAAGUAAAACAAAUUCUCAGCAAGCCCUUAAAAAUGGACAGUUCUUUUUACAAAUUGAUAUUUCAAUUGUAGUGUUUUGUCAAACUGUAUUUAGUCUGUAACUCUGUAGUCUAUAUAGCUUUCGCUAUCAUGGGAAACUGCUAAGAAAUAAAUUGUACUUAAAUAUCA
Molecule: long non-coding RNA, 8340 nt
Organism: Rhincodon typus (whale shark)
Lineage: Eukaryota; Metazoa; Chordata; Chondrichthyes; Orectolobiformes; Rhincodontidae
Exons: 2
Source: RefSeq, a predicted model, not a curated record